RNAcentral lists this ribosomal RNA (492 nucleotides) under uncultured bacterium. Its description in RNAcentral is "partial 16S ribosomal RNA". It matches the Rfam family "Bacterial small subunit ribosomal RNA", at positions 29 to 507 of the family's 1533-position model. The record is from RNAcentral.
AGUGAACGCUGGCGGUAGGCCUAACACAUGCAAGUCGAACGGCAGCACAGUAAGAGCUUGCUCUUACGGGUGGCGAGUGGCGGACGGGUGAGGAAUACAUCGGAAUCUACUUUUUCGUGGGGGAUAACGUAGGGAAACUUACGCUAAUACCGCAUACGACCUACGGGUGAAAGCAGGGGAUCUUCGGACCUUGCGCGUUUGAAUGAGCCGAUGUCGGAUUAGCUAGUUGGCGGGGUAAAGGCCCACCAAGGCGACGAUCCGUAGCUGGUCUGGAUGGAUGACCAGCCAGACUGGAACUGAGGCACGGUCAAAACUCCUAGGUGAGGGAGCGUUGGGGAAUAUUGGACAAUGGGCGCAAGCCUGCUCCAGCCAUGCCGCGUGGGUUGAGAAGGCCUUCGGGUUGUAAAGCCCUUUUGUUGGGAAAGAAAAGCAGCAGGUUAAUACCCCGCUGUUCUGACGGUACCCAAAGAAUAAGCACCGGCUAACUUCGUG